This is a long non-coding RNA of Salarias fasciatus (jewelled blenny), 330 nucleotides long. RefSeq lists it as uncharacterized. The record is from RefSeq and is a predicted model, not a curated record. The transcript has 4 exons. Lineage: Eukaryota; Metazoa; Chordata; Actinopteri; Blenniiformes; Blenniidae.
GAACGACACACCUGAGCGGAAGCAGGUCGUCACAGAUUUCUUCACGGACCGCCAGCUGCUUCUCCAUGAUGGCCGCCAUAACCUGACUCUUCAUCUCCAGACCCUCCACCACCUGAUGCAGUUGGGCGUGUCCUGCUGGGUGUCCAUGCUGCCCCCCUGGUGAGUGGAGUUCCCCUGGAGGCUGUCGGAGUCCCAGGUUGUUCAUAUCUGAGCCACGUCUGCAGACGAUCAUCAGAACCGGUUGUUGACCCGCUGCCGUCCAGCUGAGCGAGAGGGGACUGCAGCGUCCUGAAAUAAAAGUUGUGGAAAAGUGGAGAAUGUGUCUUCAUU